AUGUACAUGCCUACAACGUAGCAUUAAUGUAGAAGAUCCCAUUAGAACUCUGCAACUAAGCGCACUUAGGAUAGAGUAGUAUUGUGAUGGGUGACCACUUGGGAAGUCCUAUUGUUUUACAUU
This is a non-coding RNA of Picea glauca (white spruce), 123 nucleotides long. Lineage: Eukaryota; Viridiplantae; Streptophyta; Pinopsida; Pinales; Pinaceae. The record is from Rfam.